GAUGAACGCUGGCGGCGUGCCUAAUACAUGCAAGUCGAGCGAACAGAUAAGGAGCUUGCUCCUUUGACGUUAGCGGCGGACGGGUGAGUAACACGUGGGUAACCUACCUAUAAGACUGGAAUAACUCCGGGAAACCGGGGCUAAUGCCGGAUAACAUUUAGAACCGCAUGGUUCUAAAGUGAAAGAUGGUUUUGCUAUCACUUAUAGAUGGACCCGCGCCGUAUUAGCUAGUUGGUAAGGUAACGGCUUACCAAGGCAACGAUAUGUAGCCGACCUGAGAGGGUGAUCGGCCACACUGGAACUGAGACACGGUCCAGACUCCUACGGGAGGCAGCAGUAGGGAAUCUUCCGCAAUGGGCGAAAGCCUGACGGAGCAACGCCGCGUGAGUGAUGAAGGUCUUCGGAUCGUAAAACUCUGUUAUUAGGGAAGAACAAAUGUGUAAGUAACUGUGCACGUCUUGACGGUACCUAAUCAGAAAGCCACGGCUAACUACGUG
Molecule: ribosomal RNA, 497 nt
Filed under: uncultured bacterium
Lineage: Bacteria
Description: partial 16S ribosomal RNA
Rfam family: Bacterial small subunit ribosomal RNA
Source: RNAcentral